Molecule: ribosomal RNA, 497 nt
Filed under: uncultured bacterium
Lineage: Bacteria
Description: partial 16S ribosomal RNA
Rfam family: Bacterial small subunit ribosomal RNA
Source: RNAcentral
GAUGAACGCUGGCGGCGUGCCUAAUACAUGCAAGUCGAGCGAACAGACGAGGAGCUUGCUCCUCUGACGUUAGCGGCGGACGGGUGAGUAACACGUGGAUAACCUACCUAUAAGACUGGGAUAACUUCGGGAAACCGGAGCUAAUACCGGAUAACAUGUUGAACCGCAUGGUUCAACAGUGAAAGACGGUCUUGCUGUCUCUUAUAGAUGGAUCCGCGCCGCAUUAGCUAGUUGGUAAGGUAACGGCUUACCAAGGCAACGAUGCGUAGCCGACCUGAGAGGGUGAUCGGCCACACUGGAACUGAGACACGGUCCAGACUCCUACGGGAGGCAGCAGUAGGGAAUCUUGCGCAAUGGGCGAAAGCCUGACGGAGCAACGCCGCGUGAGUGAAGAAGGUCUUCGGAUCGUAAAACUCUGUUAUUAGGGAAGAACAACUGUGUAAGUAACUAUGCACGUCUUGACGGUACCUAAUCAGAAAGCCACGGCUAACUACGUG